AUUGAACGCUGGCGGCAGGCCUAAUACAUGCAAGUCGAACGAGUGGCGGACGGGUGAGUAAUGUCUGGGAAACUGCCUGAUGGAGGGGGAUAACUACUGGAAACGGUAGCUAAUACCGCAUACCAUCAGAUGUGCCCAGAUGGGAGUAGCUGGUUGGUGGGGUAACGGCUCACCAAGGCGUCGAUCCCUAGCUGGUCUGAGAGGAUGACCAGCCACACUGGAACUGAGACACGGUCCAGACUCCGACGGGAGGCAGCAGUGGGGAAUAUUGCGCAAUGGGCGCAAGCCUGAUGCAGCCAUGCCGAGUGUAUGAAGAAGGCCUUCGGGUUGUAAAGCACUUUCAGCGGGGAGGCGUUACCCGAAGAAGAAGCACCGGCUAACUCCGUGCCAGCAGCCGCGGUAAUUC
Molecule: ribosomal RNA, 406 nt
Filed under: uncultured bacterium
Lineage: Bacteria
Description: partial 16S ribosomal RNA
Rfam family: Bacterial small subunit ribosomal RNA
Source: RNAcentral